AUCUUCCGCAAUGGGCGAAAGCCUGACGGAGCAACGCCGCGUGAGUGAUGAAGGGUUUCGGCUCGUAAAACUCUGUUAUUAGGGAAGAACAAAUGUGUAAGUAACUGUGCACAUCUUGACGGUACCUAAUCAGAAAGCCACGGCUAACUACGUGCCAGCAGCCGCGGUAAUACGUAGGUGGCAAGCGUUAUCCGGAAUUAUUGGGCGUAAAGAGCGCGUAGGCGGUUUCAUAAGACUGAUGUGAAGGCCCACGGCUCAACCGUGGAGGGUCAUUGGAGACUGGGAAACUUGAGUGCAGAAGAGGAGAGUGGAAUUCCAUGUGUAGCGGUGAAAUGCGCAGAGAUAUGGGGGAGCACCAGUGGCGAAGGCGACUUUCUGGUCUGUAACUGACGCUGAUGUGCGAAAGCGUGGGGAUCAAACA
This 421-nucleotide ribosomal RNA is filed under the name uncultured bacterium. RNAcentral describes it as "bacterial SSU rRNA". It matches the Rfam family "Bacterial small subunit ribosomal RNA", at positions 361 to 774 of the family's 1533-position model. The record is from RNAcentral.